Molecule: transfer RNA, 72 nt
Filed under: Camelus bactrianus (Bactrian camel)
Lineage: Eukaryota; Metazoa; Chordata; Mammalia; Artiodactyla; Camelidae
Also listed under: 2 other names
Rfam family: tRNA
About the family: Transfer RNA (tRNA) molecules are approximately 80 nucleotides in length. Their secondary structure includes four short double-helical elements and three loops (D, anti-codon, and T loops).
Source: Rfam by way of RNAcentral
GAGGGCGUAGUUCAGUGGUAGAGCAUAUGCUAAGCAUGCAUGAGGUCCUGGGUUCAAUCCCCAGCACCUUCA